This 733-nucleotide long non-coding RNA is filed under the name Gossypium barbadense (sea-island cotton). RNAcentral's name for it is "long non-coding RNA (GBAR_LNC014660)". Lineage: Eukaryota; Viridiplantae; Streptophyta; Magnoliopsida; Malvales; Malvaceae. The record is from RNAcentral.
UCUCAUGCUCUCUCUCAACCCUCUGCCACCCCUCAGCCUUCUAGCUCCGGUCGUCGGACCACCAUGACGGCCGCCAGUUGCCGGCGACGGCGCCGCCGUACACGGUGGCCGACAACAUAAAAAAGAAAGACCUUUGAUCAUUUUACUGCCCUUUACCCCGAUCUAAGGCCAAAAAUCCAAAAAAAAAGGAGAACCCUUCGGAUCUGCCCUCCUCCGUUGUGAUUGUUUGGCUAACCCUGAGGGUUAGUCGGCCUUGCAAAAUGGAAAGCGAGAUGCCGGCAAAAAGGUAAAAGAUUUUGAUUUUAUUUUUACUUUAUAUCUUUUAAAGAAUAAAAUAUCACCCCUUUUUUUGAGUUUAAAUCUGAUUUCAAGUUUUGUAUUUGAUUGUCUGUUUAAAUUACAUUGAUAUGUUUGGCUUUUAUAGCCAUUUACAACAUUGUAUAUUAGGUCUAUUAUUUUGCUUUCAUUUCUGCCUACUCUAUCUUCUCUUUUUGUUCUGGUGCAAAGGCAGUAGCUAGGGUGUCAGGCCUCGGGACGGGGAGCCUCGAGACGAGCGUGCUGAAGUGGCUGAGGGCAGUGGCGCACAUGGGAGUUGGAAACCCUAGGGUUUCUGAAUUAGAUUCGAUUGUGGGCCUAUUAAUUGGGCUUAGGGUUUUUAUUUUGGGUUUGUAAUAUCUUGGACUUGGCCUCUUUUAUUAUUAUUUUGUUUUAUUUAUUUGGUUUUGGGCUCGGG